GGAGGCGUAGGUGGUGUAGAAUAUGUUUACACAAAAUACGUUGACGCGAUUAAGAUUGGACAAGUUGUUGUUAACAAUUAUAAAAUUGAAAUAGAAAGCAUGGAUUAUGGGAUGGAAAUACACGGUAUAAUAGGUUCUGACCUCUUAAAGGAAGUAGGGGCUAAGAUAGAUACCAAAGCUAUGAAAAUAACGGUGGGGUAGCCACCCGGUAAUAGGUAGACGUCUCCUUCAACAGUAACUUCGGACAGGGGUUCGAAUCCCCUCGCCUCCACCA
This 274-nucleotide non-coding RNA is filed under the name Paenibacillus thiaminolyticus. The record is from RNAcentral. Lineage: Bacteria; Bacillati; Bacillota; Bacilli; Caryophanales; Paenibacillaceae.